AUGUCUUCCUCCUCCGGCGCAUCUCACCCUAACCUCAGUGGGCAGGUGAUUGAGAAACUCUCCCGCACGAAUUACGUGUUAUGGUGCACACAGAUCACACCACAACUUCGUGGCGCCGGUGUCUUCCAAUACGUUGAUGGCACCUCGCUGGAGCCGACCAAGCUUCAAGCCGCCAAGGAUAAGGACGGCAAGGACACGUUUGUGCCCAACCCUCUCCACCCCAUCUGGGUCCGGGAGGACCAGCAGGUGCUUGGCUUCCUGCUGAGCAACCUCUCCAAAGAGGUGCUCGUCACGGUGACCGCGGUCACCACGGCGCACACGCUCUGGACGAUGCUGGCGGGCAUGUACUCGUCGCAGUCGCUGAGCCGCGUCAACAACAUCCGUACCUCGCUCAUCAACGCGCAGAAGGGCAACCAGUCCGCCGCCGCCUACUUCGCCACCAUGCGCGGUCUCGCGGAUGAGCUAGCGGCGGCAGGUAAGCCCGCGGCUGCAACUGUGCCAGCUUCUGCCGUGGGAUUUUCUGUGGCAGAAACAUCAGGCACAACAUCUCGCGUCGUACACGACUACUAA
This 570-nucleotide ribosomal RNA is filed under the name Triticum aestivum (bread wheat). RNAcentral describes it as "partial small subunit ribosomal RNA". Lineage: Eukaryota; Viridiplantae; Streptophyta; Magnoliopsida; Poales; Poaceae. The record is from RNAcentral.